Populus euphratica (Euphrates poplar) is the source of this 1078-nucleotide long non-coding RNA. RefSeq lists it as uncharacterized. The record is from RefSeq and is a predicted model, not a curated record. NCBI's taxonomy places the organism in Eukaryota, Viridiplantae, Streptophyta, Magnoliopsida, Malpighiales, Salicaceae. The transcript is spliced from 3 exons.
UGCAGAGACUGAAAGUCUGAAACGUAGGAUUGAGCUAUCUUCCUUCACUUUUCCUUCCCAUUUGGGCUGCACUUACAGCUCGACAUUGAACCAAAUUAGUCUCAUCUCUCACUAGGAGUUUGGGCUGUGUCUUUACAAAGAGAGUUCCAUAAAAAUAAAAAUAAAAAAGGAGAAAAAUUAUCUAACACCGAUACUAUGGGAAACCAGUCCCGUUUGGAUCAAGGCAAGCUGCCUUGAAAAAGGCUAGCACACUCGGAUAAUUCAAAUUUCAACUCGGUUCAAGCUUUAGCAAGCUAUGCCGAAAUUAUCAUCUAUGUAGAGGAGGAAUUCCAUGCUAAACACUCUCCUUGCUUGUCGUUGGAGCAUCAUAUGGUGAUAGUCAGUGUUUGCUUCUUGGUUCCGGCUGAAAUAUCCACAUUUUGCCCUCGGAGCUGCGGCCUCUUCGCCUCCAAUCCUAUGCUUUGAUGACAUAACACUAGCAAAUUCCCACGGAGCUCUGGCCUCUUCAGCGCCAAUCCUGUGCUUUGAUGAUAUAACACCAGAAAAUGGCUAUGUUUCUAUUUUCACCAAAGAUUUCAGAGUAAAUAACAAAUUCUGAUGUUUUUUUUUCAGUUCUGUUUUGGUUCGAAGUUCAGAGUUUCAGCCAAUUUGAUUUCGGUUUGCAGGAAACCAGUGAGAGAUGCCAUGAUAAUAUAAAAAAUUCAUGGACUGUGAUUGACAAAAUUGCUUCCAAACCGAAUAGUAUUUCAAUCCUGGGCUAGAAAUUCAUGACUUGCACAUAAUGCUUCGGUUUUUGCAAUCGGGUUUUGAUUCCUAGAUUUGAAAAUUUAUGAUCCUGUGUGAUCUUUUACUCUUCUCUUAGGCCCUAGAAAAACUCUUCUGAGCUCAAAGACUACUUGCCCCAGACAGACAUAUAUGGCUUCUGCUUAAUAUGAUUCAUCACUGUAUCCAUGACAUUGAUGGAUCUUCCACAGGAUCAAAUCCGUGUUAUGUUAAUCAACGCACAGAAGAAACUGAAACAGAUAUAGAUGGAGUUGGCAGGUAAUUAGAUCAUGGAAGAACUGCGUUUUCCUUAUCU